RNAcentral lists this ribosomal RNA (496 nucleotides) under uncultured bacterium. RNAcentral's name for it is "partial 16S ribosomal RNA". It matches the Rfam family "Bacterial small subunit ribosomal RNA", at positions 28 to 507 of the family's 1533-position model. The record is from RNAcentral.
GAUGAACGCUGGCGGCGUGACUAAUACAUGCAAGUCGAGCGAACGGACGAGAAGCUUGCUUCUCUGAUGUUAGCGGCGGACGGGUGAGUAACACGUGGAUAACCUACCUAUAAGACUGGGAUAACUUCGGGAAACCGGAGCUAAUACCGGAUAAUAUUUUGAACCGCAUGGUUCAAAAGUGAAAGACGGUCUUGCUGUCACUUAUAGAUGGAUCCGCGCUGCAUUAGCUAGUUGGUAAGGUAACGGCUUACCAAGGCAACGAUGCAUAGCCGACCUGAGAGGGUGAUCGGCCACACUGGAACUGAGACACGGUCCAGACUCCUACGGGAGGCAGCAGUAGGGAAUCUUCCGCGAUGGCGAAAGCCUGACGGAGCAACGCCGCGUGAGUGAUGAAGGUCUUCGGAUCGUAAAACUCUGUUAUUAGGGAAGAACAUAUGUGUAAGUAACUGUGCACAUCUUGACGGUACCUAAUCAGAAAGCCACGGCUAACUACGUG